UGAGGAAUAUUGGGCAAUGCCCGCAAGGGUGACCCAGCAACGCCGCGUGGAGGAUGAAUGUCGUAAGAUUGUAAACUCCUGUUAGAGGGGAAGAAUAGUACCGGUUGGACCGGUAUAUGACUGUACCCUCAGAGAAAGCCCCGGCUAACUACGUGCCAGCAGCCGCGGUAAUACGUAGGGGGCAAGCGUUGUCCGGAUUUACUGGGUGUAAAGGGCGCGCAGGCGGGAUAAAAAGUCAGUGGUGAAAUCCUACAGCUUAACUGUAGAACUGCCUUUGAUACUUUUAUUCUUGAGUUCGGGAGAGAGAGACGGAAUUCCAGGUGUAGUGGUGAAAUACGUUGAUAUCUGGAAGAACACCAGUUGCGAAGGCGGUCUCUUGGUCCGACACUGACGCUGAGGCGCGAAAGCGUGGGGAGCAAACA
RNAcentral lists this ribosomal RNA (422 nucleotides) under uncultured bacterium. Its description in RNAcentral is "bacterial SSU rRNA". It matches the Rfam family "Bacterial small subunit ribosomal RNA", at positions 355 to 774 of the family's 1533-position model. The record is from RNAcentral.